AUGGGUCACCUCAUCGGCGUGCUCACGCCUCUCCCCGAUUGCAUCGCCAGCCUGUGUUUUCUCCUCGUUGCUGUCUUCAUCUUGACCGCUCACCGUCGUAGAAUUGAGCACGUGACAGGCUGGCUGCGUAAGCUCGCGCCGGUGACCACUCGGGUUGCGCGGGGCACCCGGCGUGGCCUCUCCAUCCAGGUGACAGGCCGUGCGAUAGCGCACCGCGCCUUGGUGGAGCACAGCGCCGCCUUCCUCGACCGCCCCACCGGCGCGGUGCCAAGUACCAUCCUCACACGUGACCGCCACCAUAACAUCCUGUCGGCGCCAUACGGCCCGUACUGGCGCGCCGUCCGCCGCAACGUAGCUGCCGGUGUCCUCCACCCAUCUCGCCUCUUCCGACUCAGCGACACCCGUGCCCGCGUGCUGGGCGACCUGGCGCGCGACCUCAGAUCCGGCGCCCCGGCAGCCGAGAGCCUCUAUUUCGCCGUGUACUCUGUCCUCGUUGAGAUGUGCUUCGGCAAGGACGUCGUCUCCAAGCUCGGGGACACGCGCCUCCGUGCCAUGCAGAAGUUCCAGCGUGACAUCCUCGUCGCGUUGCCCUCUUUUGGGGUGCUUGUGAGGUACCCGAGGAUGAGCAAGCUCAUCUACCCAUCACGGUGGCGCCAGCUUCUCUCUCUCCGGCGGCAGCAAGAAGAAUCUUUCUUGCCGCUCGUCGCCGAGGUCAAGAAUAACCGGAAGGACAAGCAUGACGCCAGCUUCAAGACUUACGUGGAGUCCCUCCUGGACCUGCGAAUCCAUGAAGACGGCGGCCGGGCCGUCGCGGAUGGCGAACUCGUCAGCCUCAUCUCGGAGUUCCUCGGCGCCGGCUUGGAGUCCACGGCUGCUGCCCUACAAUGGACGAUGGCCAACCUCGUAAAACGCCCCGACCUGCAGCAGAAGCUGCGGAUCGAGGUCGACGCCAUUGGCUGCAACCAGCGUAUCAUCGAGGAGGCCGAGCUAUCGCGAAUGCCCUACCUCAAGGCCGUCGUGCUCGAGAGCCUGCGGCGCCACCCACCGUUUCCGUUUGUGGUGCGCCGGAUGGAGGGCAAGGAGGCCGCGGAGGCGGUCGGCCUGACGAGUGUGCCGGGCGGUGGCGCGACGGCGAAUUUCCUCGUUGGGAAGAUCGCCCGCGACGCGGUACCGUGGUCGGAUGCGACAGAGUUCACGCCUGAGCGGUUCAUGCCCGGCGGGGACGGCGAGGACACGGACCUGACCUGCACGAGGGAGCUCAGAAUGAUGCCAUUCGGAGCCGGGAGGCGCGCGUGCCUGGCGAUCGUGCCGGCGAUGCUGCACCUCGAGUACUUCGUGGCCAACCUGGUCAAGGAGUUCGAGUGGUGGGAGGCCGACGGAGAGGACAACGCGGUGAACCUCACCGAAUUCCGCGGGUUCUUCAUCACCGUCAUGGAUCGCCCGCCUCGUGCCUCGCGACGCGGUAUGACCCUCCGGAUGCACCCGUCGGUGCCGUUCGUCCUACGCCGAUGA
RNAcentral lists this ribosomal RNA (1512 nucleotides) under Triticum aestivum (bread wheat). RNAcentral describes it as "partial small subunit ribosomal RNA". The record is from RNAcentral. Lineage: Eukaryota; Viridiplantae; Streptophyta; Magnoliopsida; Poales; Poaceae.